GGUGGCUAUAGCUCAGUUGGUAGAGCCCUGGAUUGUGAUUCCGGUGGUCGCGAGUUCGAAUCUCGUUAGCCACCCCA
Molecule: transfer RNA, 77 nt
Filed under: Vibrio harveyi
Lineage: Bacteria; Pseudomonadati; Pseudomonadota; Gammaproteobacteria; Vibrionales; Vibrionaceae
Description: tRNA-His
Rfam family: tRNA
About the family: Transfer RNA (tRNA) molecules are approximately 80 nucleotides in length. Their secondary structure includes four short double-helical elements and three loops (D, anti-codon, and T loops).
Source: RNAcentral